UACCGUGAGGAUAGAGGGCUGUAACGCGGU
RNAcentral lists this non-coding RNA (30 nucleotides) under Homo sapiens (human). The record is from RNAcentral. Lineage: Eukaryota; Metazoa; Chordata; Mammalia; Primates; Hominidae.